GGGGAAAUCUUCCGGCUUAACCGGAAGGCGUCUCAGGGAUACUGGCAGACUAGGGACCGGAAGAGGUGAGAGGUACUCCAGGGGUAGGAGUGAAAUCCUGUAAUCCUUGGGGGACCACCUGUGGCGAAGGCGUCUCACCAGAACGGCUCCGACAGUGAGGGACGAAAGCUGGGGGAGCAAACCGGAUUAAAUACCCGGGUAGUCCCAGCCGUAAACGAUGUGCGUUAGGUGUAUCGGUGACCACGAGUCACCGAGGUGCCGAAGAGAAAUCGUGAAACGUGCCGCCUGGGAAGUACGGUCGCAAGGCUGAAACUUAAAGGAAUUGGCGGGGGAGCACCACAACAGGUGGAGCCUGCGGUUUAAUCGGACUCAACGCCGGGCAACUCACCAGAUAAGACAGCUGAAUGAUAGUCGGGCUGAAUACUCUACUUGACUAGCUGAGAGGAGGUGCAUGGCCGUCGUCAGUUCGUACUGUAGAAGG
This 481-nucleotide ribosomal RNA is filed under the name uncultured Methanomicrobiaceae archaeon. Its description in RNAcentral is "bacterial SSU rRNA". It matches the Rfam family "Archaeal small subunit ribosomal RNA", at positions 543 to 1023 of the family's 1478-position model. The record is from RNAcentral. Lineage: Archaea; Methanobacteriati; Methanobacteriota; Methanomicrobia; Methanomicrobiales; Methanomicrobiaceae.